AUGCACGCUGGCGGCGUGCCUAAUCCCUGCCAGUCGAGCGAACAGACGAGGAGCUUGCUCCUCUGACGUUAGCGGCGGACGGGUGAGUAACACGUGGAUAACCUACCUAUAAGACUGGGAUAACUUCGGGAAACCGGAGCUAAUACCGGAUAAUAUAUUGAACCGCCUGGUUCAAUAGUGAAAGACGGUUUUGCUGUCACUUAUAGAUGGAUCCGCGCCGCAUUAGCUAGUUGGUAAGGUAACGGCUUACCAAGGCGACGAUGCGUAGCCGACCUGAGAGGGUGAUCGGCCACACUGGAACUGAGACACGGUCCAGACUCCUACGGGAGGCAGCAGUAGGGAAUCUUCCGCAAUGGGCGAAAGCCUGACGGAGCAACGCCGCGUGAGUGAUGAAGGUCUUCGGAUCGUAAAACUCUGUUAUUAGGGAAGAACAAAUGUGUAGGUAACUAUGCACGUCUUGACGGUACCUAAUCAGAAAGCCACGGCUAACUACGUG
Molecule: ribosomal RNA, 496 nt
Filed under: uncultured bacterium
Lineage: Bacteria
Description: partial 16S ribosomal RNA
Rfam family: Bacterial small subunit ribosomal RNA
Source: RNAcentral